RNAcentral lists this ribosomal RNA (505 nucleotides) under uncultured bacterium. RNAcentral describes it as "bacterial SSU rRNA". It matches the Rfam family "Bacterial small subunit ribosomal RNA", at positions 107 to 607 of the family's 1533-position model. The record is from RNAcentral.
UGAGUAAUGUCUGGGAAACUGCCCGAUGGAGGGGGAUAACUACUGGAAACGGUAGCUAAUACCGCAUAACGUCUUCGGACCAAUUGGGAACUCCCCCCAAAACACCAUCGGAUGUGCCCAGAUGGGAUUAGCUAGUAGGUGGGGUAAUGGCUCACCUAGGCGACGAUCCCUAGCUGGUCUGAGAGGAUGACCAGCCACACUGGAACUGAGACACGGUCCAGACUCCUACGGGAGGCAGCAGUGGGGAAUAUUGCACAAGGGGGCGCACCCCUGAUGCACCCAUGCCGCGGGGUAUAAGAAGAAGGCCUUCGGGUUGUAAAGUACUUUCAGUGGGGAGGAAGGCGUUAAGGUUAAUAACCUUGACGAUUGACGUUACCCGCAGAAGAAGCACCGGCUAACUCCGUGCCAGCAGCCGCGGUAAUACGGAGGGUGCAAGCGUUAAUCGGAAUUACUGGGCGUAAAGCGCACGCAGGCGGUCUGUCAAGUCGGAUGUGAAAUCCCCGGG